RNAcentral lists this ribosomal RNA (542 nucleotides) under uncultured bacterium. Its description in RNAcentral is "partial 16S ribosomal RNA". It matches the Rfam family "Bacterial small subunit ribosomal RNA", at positions 355 to 912 of the family's 1533-position model. The record is from RNAcentral.
UGGGGAAUAUUGCACAAUGGGCGAAAGCCUGAUGCAGCAACGCCGCGUGAGUGAUGAAGGCCUUCGGGUUGUAAAGCUCUGUCUUUUGGGACGAUAAUGACGGUACCAAAGGAGGAAGCCACGGCUAACUACGUGCCAGCAGCCGCGGUAAUACGUAGGUGGCAAGCGUUGUCCGGAUUUUACUGGGCGUAAAGGAUGCGUAGGCGGAUUUUUAAGUGAGAUGUGAAAACCCUAAGCUUAACUUGGGGACUGCAUUUCAUACUGGAAAUCUAGAGUGCGGGAGAGGAGAAUGGAAUUCCUAGUGUAGCGGUGAAAUGCGUAGAGAUUAGGAAGAACACCAGUGGCGAAGGCGAUUCUCUGGACCGUAACUGACGCUGAGGCAUGAAAGCGUGGGUAGCAAACAGGAUUAGAUACCCUGGUAGUCCACGCCGUAAACGAUGAGUACUAGGUGUAGGAGGUAUCGACCCCUUCUGUGCCGCAGUUAACACAAUAAGUACUCCGCCUGGGAAGUACGAUCGCAAGAUUAAAACUCAAAUGAAUUG